RNAcentral lists this ribosomal RNA (420 nucleotides) under uncultured bacterium. RNAcentral's name for it is "bacterial SSU rRNA". It matches the Rfam family "Bacterial small subunit ribosomal RNA", at positions 356 to 791 of the family's 1533-position model. The record is from RNAcentral.
GGGGAAUUUUCCGCAAUGGGCGAAAGCCUGACGGAGCAAUACCGCGUGAGGGAUGACUGCCUAUGGGUUGUAAACCUCUUUUUUCAGGGAGGAAUCAAUGACGUUACCUGAAGAAUAAGCAUCGGCUAACUCCGUGCCAGCAGCCGCGGUAAGACGGAGGAUGCAAGUGUUAUCCGGAAUCACUGGGCGUAAAGCGUCUGUAGGUGGUUUGAUAAGUCAACUGUUAAAUCUUGAGGCUCAACCUCAAAACCGCAGUCGAAACUAUUAGACUAGAGUAUAGUAGGGGUAAGGGGAAUUUCCAGUGGAGCGGUGAAAUGCGUAGAGAUUGGAAAGAACACCGAUGGCGAAGGCACUUUACUGGGCUAUGACUAACACUGAGAGACGAAAGCUAGGGUAGCAAAAAGGAUUAGAUACCCCUGU